RNAcentral lists this transfer RNA (73 nucleotides) under Bos taurus (domestic cattle). It matches the Rfam family "tRNA". From Rfam's summary of the family: Transfer RNA (tRNA) molecules are approximately 80 nucleotides in length. The record is from Rfam by way of RNAcentral. Lineage: Eukaryota; Metazoa; Chordata; Mammalia; Artiodactyla; Bovidae. RNAcentral also lists the same sequence under 5 other names.
UCUCUGGUAGUCCAGUGGUUAAGACUCUGUUCUCUCAGUGUAGGGGGCCCAGGUUCAAUUUCUGGUCAGGGAA